GAAGAAGACGGGAAAAGGUCACAGCAGGGGUAGAGUACGGAGAUAAGAGCUGUUUGUUUCUUUUCCCAUUUAUCUCCAUUGAGAUGCAUUCAUCUCUACACUUAAGGAGAAAAGGCCCUGCCCUUUGACCCGCUCUCUGUGAGUAUGAAGCAUAAACAAGUCCCACUCUCGGGUCCUGAAUCAGCCCGGCCUGUUUGCUCAGGGUGUUUGCUUAGGACUGCGGUUUGGAUUUGAGUGUUAGCUGUGCACAGGUAGCUCUAGAAAAAAUAAAAUCAAUGCAACAAUUUCAGAUUAAUGUCAACAUGACGGCAGCUCGCCACAGUAACACAAUAUUUAUCACCCUGCAAUUACACCAGAUGAUCGUCCCUCGAUGUAGGAAGAACAAACAUGAUGUGACUUCCUCUUCAGUGACAGAAGGAUUUAUUCUCCACAUUAUAUUCUCACAAUGAAGUGUCCUUUCUGCCCGACAGAUAGUUUAAUCGCUGACUGCUUUAUAGACCGAACCUUCAUCUCCAGCCUGCAGGGAUAUAAUGACAAGUGUGGACCACCCAUGUCUGCCUUGGCCUCAAUGUUAUUUAAGGAAUUCCCCCGGCUUCAAGUCCUGAAGACAAAAUGAAGCUCCGGUCAAAGGAGAAGCUCGGAUGUGCAGACUUCAGGUGGAGCAGCUUUUUCUCCAGAAGUCAGGAGAUCAACUACACAGAGUACCUUUUGCAGCAGCCUGAUGACAAACCCAUUUCCUGGCUCGGCUCGUUUCCAGGGGUACAAACUGCUGUCCAUGUGUUUCUUUCUGCAGCGUCAAAGCCAUACAUGUGUUUCCAACUUGUUGAGCAUCCUGGCACGUCAAACUUCAUACCUCCUGUGUGACAUCUGAAAGAGGACGAGUGCAGAUACAGUUUCAGUCCCAGCUCUACAGUUGUGUGUAGGACUGAAAGUGUCUGGAAAUGAAAGGGAGGAAAAUUCCUCACAUUUUACCCUAUUAUAUUUUCUGCUCAGGGAUCCAAAGUGAAAACCACUUCAACUUAUGAAAGAUUCCCCCUGCUGAAGAGCUAAAUGGUGCUCCAGAAGCUCUUCAUGCAUUUGAUGGAAAUCUUUGAAAAAUUCAGAGUGGCCUGUGAAUUGAUUGGAAAAUGUAUCAUCACUCAGAGUGCCUAAAGGCUCCUGUUGAUGGCAGACUUGUGAGUCAGACUCGUCUGUCGUGACACAUGCUGACAACGCUUCUUGUUUUCUGCAGCCGCUGUCUUGCCUCGGGCUUCAGUGAGGAAACUCUCCGAAACACACAUACUCACAAACACGCACACACACCCCACACAUCUCUGAACUGUUGCUCAACACAGCUGUGGGUAAACAGGCUGUGUUUAGAUGCCCUUGUCUCAACUUGUACACACACACACAUGCACACACACACACACAAUAAUUCUAGGACACAUACACAGAAAUGCUACAAACCCUGCUGAGUGGGCGUAUUUGCAGCGCCACACCAAACACUCUUGCCAUGACUUGUUACAGUGAAGGAAAUUGCACAGUUGCACUAAAGUACAACAUAAUAAAAUAAUGCACAUCUGCAUUCUGCAGCUCAGAGAUGUACAACAGCAUGUAAGUGUGGUAAGUAAUUGAUAUAAUUGUUGCUUUGUAUUAAUAACAUCUGGUCAAAAGGCUUUAGCUGGCAUUAAAAGAAAACUUGAACACAAGACCGUGGAGAGAUUCUCUGUUUGGUUCUAGUUGAUUUUUGUGCAGUUUGAUGCAUAACAUUGACCAAAAAGAUAAAUCUUAUUACUGAUAUCCAUGACUUUUAUCACGUUAUUUGAAAAAUAGACUUAAUGCCAACGACAAACAUU
Molecule: long non-coding RNA, 1835 nt
Organism: Labrus mixtus (cuckoo wrasse)
Lineage: Eukaryota; Metazoa; Chordata; Actinopteri; Labriformes; Labridae
Exons: 4
Source: RefSeq, a predicted model, not a curated record